GAUGAACGCUAGCUACAGGCUUAACACAUGCAAGUCGAGGGGAAACGAUAGAGAAAGCUUGCUUUUUCUAGGCGUCGACCGGCGCACGGGUGAGUAACGCGUAUCCAACCUGCCCAUCACUUGGGGAUAACCUUGCGAAAGUAAGACUAAUACCCAAUGAUAUCUCUAGAAGACAUCUGAAAGAGAUUAAAGAUUUAUCGGUGAUGGAUGGGGAUGCGUCUGAUUAGCUUGUUGGCGGGGUAACGGCCCACCAAGGCGACGAUCAGUAGGGGUUCUGAGAGGAAGGUCCCCCANAUUGGAACUGAGACACGGUCCAAACUCCUACGGGAGGCAGCAGUGAGGAAUAUUGGUCAAUGGACGAGAGUCUGAACCAGCCAAGUAGCGUGCAGGAUGACGGCCCUAUGGGUUGUAAACUGCUUUUAUAAGGGAAUAAAGUGAGUCUCGUGAGGCUUUUUGCAUGUACCUUAUGAAUAAGGACCGGCUAAUUCCGUGCCAGCAGCCG
This 502-nucleotide ribosomal RNA is filed under the name uncultured bacterium. Its description in RNAcentral is "bacterial SSU rRNA". It matches the Rfam family "Bacterial small subunit ribosomal RNA", at positions 28 to 517 of the family's 1533-position model. The record is from RNAcentral.